UACGUAGGGUGCAAGCGUUAAUCGGAAUUACUGGGCGUAAAGCGUGCGCAGGCGGCUUUGCAAGACAGAUGUGAAAUCCCCGGGCUCAACCUGGGAACUGCAUUUGUGACUGCAAGGCUAGAGUACGGCAGAGGGGGAUGGAAUUCCGCGUGUAGCAGUGAAAUGCGUAGAUAUUCGGAAGAACACCAAUGGCGAAGGCAAUCCCCUGGGCCUGUACUGACGCUCAUGCACGAAAGCGUGGGGAGCAAACAGG
This 253-nucleotide ribosomal RNA is filed under the name uncultured bacterium. RNAcentral describes it as "partial 16S ribosomal RNA". It matches the Rfam family "Bacterial small subunit ribosomal RNA", at positions 524 to 776 of the family's 1533-position model. The record is from RNAcentral.